UACGUAGGUGGCAAGCGUUGUCCGGAUUUACUGGGCGUAAAGAGCGCGCAGGCGGUCGUUCAAGUCGCGUGUGAAAGCCCCCGGCUCAACUGGGGAGGGUCAUUCGAUACUGAUCAACUUGAAGGCAGGAGAGAGAAGUGGAAUUCCCGGUGUAGUGGUGAAAUGCGUAGAGAUCGGGAAGAACACCAACGGCGAAAGCACUCUGCUGGGCCGAAACUGACACUGAGAGACGAAAGCUAGGGGAGCAAAUGGG
This 253-nucleotide ribosomal RNA is filed under the name uncultured bacterium. RNAcentral's name for it is "partial 16S ribosomal RNA". It matches the Rfam family "Bacterial small subunit ribosomal RNA", at positions 524 to 776 of the family's 1533-position model. The record is from RNAcentral.